UUUGGGAGGCCAACGCAGGAGGAUCACUUGAGCCCAGGAGUUCAACAUUAGCCUGGGCAACACAGUGAGACCUUGUGUCUACAAAAA
RNAcentral lists this microRNA precursor (87 nucleotides) under Chlorocebus sabaeus (green monkey). RNAcentral describes it as "miRNA (ENSCSAG00000025121.1)". The record is from RNAcentral. Lineage: Eukaryota; Metazoa; Chordata; Mammalia; Primates; Cercopithecidae.